GAUGAACGCUAGCGGCAGGCCUAACACAUGCAAGUCGAGGGGUAGCAGGAUUAAGCUUGCUUAAUUGCUGACGACCGGCGCACGGGUGCGUAACGCGUAUGCAACCUACCUUAUACUGGGGUAUAGCCCGGAGAAAUUCGGAUUAAUCCCCCAUAGUACUAAUGAAUCGCAUGGUUUAUUAGUUAAAGCAUUGCGGUAUAAGAUGGGCAUGCGUCCUAUUAGCUAGAUGGUGAGGUAACGGCUCACCAUGGCUACGAGAGGUAGGGGGCCUGGGAGGGUGGUCCCCCACACUGGUACUGGGACACGGACCAGACUCCGACGGGAGGCAGCAGUGAGGAAUAUUGGUCAAUGGGCGCAAGCCUGAACCAGCCAUGCCGCGUGCAGGAAGAAUGCCCUAUGGGUUGUAAACUGCUUUUAUUUGGGAAUAAACCUCUUUACGUGUAGAGAGCUGAAGGUACCAAAUGAAUAAGCACCGGCUAACUCCGUGCCAGCAGCCGCCGUAA
Molecule: ribosomal RNA, 503 nt
Filed under: uncultured bacterium
Lineage: Bacteria
Description: partial 16S ribosomal RNA
Rfam family: Bacterial small subunit ribosomal RNA
Source: RNAcentral